GUCGAGAAUCUUUCACAAUGGGGGCAACCCUGAUGGAGCGACGCCGCGUGGAGGAUAAGGUCUUCGGAUUGUAAACUCCUGUCAUGCGUGAACAAGGUUGCUUGGUUAAUACCUGGGCAAAUUGAUGGUAACGCAAGAGGAAGAGACGGCUAACUCUGUGCCAGCAGCCGCGGUAAUACAGAGGUCUCAAGCGUUGUUCGGAAUCACUGGGCGUAAAGGGUGCGUAGGUGGCGGGGUAAGUCAGAUGUGAAAGCCCGGGGCUCAACCUCGGAACUGCAUCCGAUACUGCCAUGCUAGAGUACUGGAGAGGUGACUAGAAUUCUCGGUGUAGCAGUGAAAUGCGUAGAUAUCGAGAGGAAUACCAAAGGCGUAGGCAGGUCACUGGACAGUUACUGACACUGAGGCACGAAGGCCAGGGGAGCGAACGGGAUUAGAAACCCGUGUAGUCC
Molecule: ribosomal RNA, 449 nt
Filed under: uncultured bacterium
Lineage: Bacteria
Description: partial 16S ribosomal RNA
Rfam family: Bacterial small subunit ribosomal RNA
Source: RNAcentral